UGGACAGAUUAUUGUAUUCGACUGUAUUCACGGCAUGAAAUAGGGGAUUAUACUGUUUUUAAAAUGGAAAGUGAAUCAAUUAACAUAAUAGACUCCU
RNAcentral lists this microRNA precursor (97 nucleotides) under Nicotiana tabacum (common tobacco). Its description in RNAcentral is "MIR6152 microRNA precursor family". It matches the Rfam family "MIR6152 microRNA precursor family". The record is from Rfam by way of RNAcentral. Lineage: Eukaryota; Viridiplantae; Streptophyta; Magnoliopsida; Solanales; Solanaceae.